ACACCUAAAAGGCUUUUCACCAUAAUUGCAUUAAACUCUUCCUUCUUUUUAGGUGAACUUGAACGGACACCUGAGGAUCGAGAGUGAGGCAUAUCUCUUCCUUUUUCUUUAACGUUCCUCUUGUUAGCUACAAGAACAUUUUCCUCCCCUUCUUUGAUAAGUUCACUAGCCAAUUGUUUGGCUAUUAACUCUUGAGACGACAAUAAAUUCUCAAAUUCCUCCGAGGAUGGUUGUUGAGCCCACCGCUGAAUCGAUGUCACAAAGGGAAUAUAUUUUGGUUUCAAACCAAGGAAUAAUAUUUCUUCUUAUUCGUGCUUCGGAGAUAGCCUCAUCCGGAUUUAUUAAAGAGAUCUCAGAACAUAAAUUCUUAAUUCUUAAGAAAUAAUCUAGAAAAAUUACCUUGGGUGGCGUUAGCCAAUUUAUUCUCCAAGAUAUGUAGCCGGGCUUCAUUUUUCAUGAGUUGAUUUAUACCUUAUUAUAUGGUCAAAUAAAACGGAGAAGUUGAACCUCUUCAGAAUGAACUCUGCCUUCGCAUUAAUCUGCUUUCACUUCUUGUAUGCACCACUAUUCUCCGGUCUGUCGUCCGGAGGACUUAUGUUACUUCCAUUAACAACAUCGCGCAAAUCCUCACCUACAAGGUAUGGUACAAGAUACGAUUCCAUACCUUGUAAUUAGAUUGAUUCACCUACUCCAUUCCCAGUCUAUUAAUGCGACUGCGUAAAUCCAUUCGCACAAAUUAGUUGAAUCGACCACAAACUCUAUCUUGAAAUAAAUGCGAGUCAAUCUACAACUUUGGCUCUGAUACCAUGUAGAGAAUAACAGAAGAAAGGUGUAACUGGCGAGACCUUCUGCUAGCUCAAGAUCGUUAACUAAGAUCGAAAGAUUCAACUAAAGAAGAGGAAGCUAUGAUAGGCGAGUUUCUUUUAUGGAAGAAGACUUCUUGAAUUAGAUUGUUUUUUUUUGGUUGGUUACAAAUGCCUAAGGCCAUCCCCUAUUUAUACUUGUGUAGGGAUGAUUCUAAAUACUACAAAUCUAGUGUAUUUUAUCCUCCUCCACAAAUAUCUAACACUUUAGAAUAUGUAGAUCUUUCCUAAAUACAAAUAUCAAAUAGACUAUUUUCUAGAAACCUGUACCUAGAAUUACGUAGAAUAUCUAGAUAUUUCUUCAAGAUGAUGAUCCUUGAAAUUACACAAGAUAUUCUAGAAACUUUACAAGAAAAACUAUGUUAUCCAAAAAAUCAACUUUAAAUUUUCUUCACAUUCUCCCUUAAAGUGAUUUUUUGGAAGCUAUCCCAAACUUGUUGCAGAAGAACUCAAACGAAGCUUUGAACUAUGCCUUGGUGGAAAUCCUUGUACUUUUUUCUCGACUCCUCUAACUUUUUCAAAUAAUGAAGUUUUUCUAUCAUCAGUUGGUCCUGCAAAGAUACGUGUACCAACAAAAGUUUUAUCUCUGUAACGUACUGACUUCACAAUAUUUCUUUUUGGUCUUUGUGAACCAAGUGAGUCAUCUCCUUGUCGAGUUUCCGAGCUUCCUCUUUCUCCGAACUCCUCAACAACUAUAUUCUUUGGAGAAUCAUUUCUUAUGGGCAAAUCUGAAACUCCUGGGUUCUAAUGUUUUAGAACCCUUUCCUUUAGAUAUAGCCCGAAGUACAAAGAAAUUUCAUCAGUUCAAGCUCUUCAUCAUCCAUUUCUCCAUCUAAGUCUACACGGUCAACUUCUUCAUUUGCUUGAUCUUUAGUUUCCUCAUCAACUUUCAAUAUUUGUUUUGAGCUAGUGAUUGAUCUUGAUACCAUAAAUGAUUGAUCAGAGACUUCAACUACAUCUCCCUUAAUGCUUACUCCGAUAAAGUCAUCACUAGCAUAUAGAGUUUCAGACAGCUGCUCAGAGUCUACUUCAAUAUCCUCCAUGUUUAGACUUUUAUUUCCGUUUUCAGGAAUUGCUUCUUUGAUUUCCUCGAUAGCAGAUUCACGUCUCUAGUCUGAAUGUCUUCAGUAUCAUCUUGCUUUUUAUUGGUGUCUUCCUUCUCAACAUGAUGGAUUAUAUUAUAUCCAAUCCAAUCCCUCUCCAAAUUUAUGAAAGUUAAGGCAUCUAUUGCUCGACUCUUAGCUGCUAAGCAUCUUCCCCAGCCUUCUUCUUCUUCAACAAGUUUUUUAGUUUGAGCCAUGUUGCUCUCCGUGACUCGACAAUAUCUCCUUAUGUGUCCGAUCUUGCCUCUCCGAUAACACCUAAAAGGCUUUUCACCAUAAUUGCAUUAAACUCUUCCUUCUUUUUAGGUGAACUUGAACGGACACCUGUGGAUCGAGAGUGAGGCAUAUCUCUUCCUUUAUCUUUAACGUUCCUCUUGUUAGCUACAAGAGCAUUUUCCUCCCCUUCUUUGAUAAGUUCACUAGCCAAUUGCUUGACUAUUAACUCCUGAGACGACAAUAAAUUCUCAAAUUCCUCCAAGGAUGGUUGUGGAGCCCACCCU
Molecule: long non-coding RNA, 2466 nt
Filed under: Capsicum annuum
Lineage: Eukaryota; Viridiplantae; Streptophyta; Magnoliopsida; Solanales; Solanaceae
Description: long non-coding RNA (CANN_LNC021213)
Source: RNAcentral